Molecule: ribosomal RNA, 472 nt
Filed under: uncultured bacterium
Lineage: Bacteria
Description: bacterial SSU rRNA
Rfam family: Bacterial small subunit ribosomal RNA
Source: RNAcentral
CUCUGUGACUCCUACGGGAGGCAGCAGUGGGGAAUAUUGCACAAUGGGCGCAAGCCUGAUGCAGCCAUGCCGCGUGUGUGAAGAAGGCCUUCGGGUUGUAAAGCACUUUCAGUUGUGAGGAAGGUGGUGUCGUUAAUAGCGGCAUCAUUUGACGUUAGCAACAGAAGAAGCACCGGCUAACUCCGUGCCAGCAGCCGCGGUAAUACGGAGGGUGCGAGCGUUAAUCGGAAUUACUGGGCGUAAAGCGCAUGCAGGUGGUUUGUUAAGUCAGAUGUGAAAGCCCGGGGCUCAACCUCGGAACUGCAUUUGAAACUGGCAGACUAGAGUACUGUAGAGGGGGUAGAAUUUCAGGUGUAGCGGUGAAAUGCGUAGAGAUCUGAAGGAAUACCGGUGGCGAAGGCGGCCCCCUGGACAGAUACUGACACUCAGUUGCGAAAGCGUGGGGAGCAAACAGGAUUAGAUACCCUGGUAG